This is an RNA transcript of Gorilla gorilla gorilla (western lowland gorilla), 8594 nucleotides long. It is a transcript of the gene named TOP1 binding arginine/serine rich protein, E3 ubiquitin ligase, with no coding region annotated. The record is from RefSeq and is a predicted model, not a curated record. Lineage: Eukaryota; Metazoa; Chordata; Mammalia; Primates; Hominidae. The transcript has 4 exons.
AGCAACUAAACCAAAAAUCGCAAAGGAGGUGUGAAAUCUACCUGAUAUUUCCCCUCGCCCCCGUCAGGUUACCGUUGCCAUUGCUAAGGUGGGAAUUAAAGUAACAAAGUCGAAUAAAUGGGGUUCCAGUGGCGGGUACACCCAGCAGCCCUUACGUAAGAAGCGGAAGAUCGUAUCCUCCAGGAAGAGGCGGAGUCGAGGUGAGGGAGUGAAAUGCUUAAUUCAGGAAUGGAUUUUGGAGUUUCUGGGUGCUGAAGAAAUAGGGCCUUUCCGUCUGCGGGCCCAGUGAGUCGACACGGUGGGGGCCCGCGAUCCCCGGGACUUACCACUGAAUAAAUCCAGUCCAGCGUGCGACGACUUACUGGCUUCAUGGGGUCGCAGCCGCCGCUGGGGUCUCCGCUGUCUCGCGAGGAGGGUGAAGCGCCCCCGCCUGCUCCCGCUUCGGAGGGUAGGCGGAGAAGUCGCCGGGUACGCCUUCGCGGAUCCUGCCGUCACCGACCUAGCUUUCUGGGCUGCCGGGAGCUCGCGGCGAGCGCCCCAGCCAGGCCUGCGCCCGCAUCCUCCGAGAUAAUGGCAUCAGCUGCUAAGGAAUUUAAAAUGGACAACUUUUCACCUAAAGCUGGCACUAGCAAAUUGCAACAGACAGUACCAGCUGAUGCAUCUCCUGAUUCUAAGUGUCCUAUAUGCUUGGAUAGAUUUGAUAAUGUGUCUUACUUAGAUCGCUGCUUACAUAAGUUCUGUUUUCGCUGUGUACAGGAGUGGUCAAAAAACAAAGCUGAAUGCCCACUAUGUAAACAGCCCUUUGAUUCUAUUUUCCAUUCUGUGAGGGCAGAAGAUGACUUCAAGGAGUAUGUCCUAAGGCCUUCGUAUAAUGGUUCUUUUGUCACCCCUGAUCGACGAUUUCGCUACCGUACAACUCUGACAAGGGAACGAAAUGCUUCUGUUUAUUCACCUAGUGGUCCUGUGAACAGAAGAACAACAACUCCGCCAGAUAGUGGAGUACUGUUUGAAGGGUUAGGCAUUUCAACAAGACCUAGAGAUGUUGAAAUUCCUCAAUUUAUGAGACAGAUUGCAGUAAGGAGGCCAACUACGGCAGAUGAAAGAUCUUUGCGGAAAAUUCAAGAACAAGAUAUUAUUAAUUUUAGACGAACUCUUUAUCGUGCUGGUGCUCGAGUUAGAAAUAUUGAAGAUGGUGGCCGCUACAGGGAUAUUUCAGCUGAAUUUUUCCGUAGAAAUCCAGCUUGCCUUCACAGAUUAGUCCCCUGGUUAAAACGUGAACUUACAGUUCUUUUUGGAGCUCAUGGAUCUUUAGUGAAUAUUGUCCAGCAUAUUAUCAUGAGUAAUGUUACUCGCUAUGACUUGGAGAGUCAGGCAUUUGUGUCUGAUUUAAGACCAUUUUUACUUAAUCGAACUGAGCAUUUUAUACAUGAAUUUAUCAGUUUUGCCCGAUCUCCUUUUAACAUGGCAGCCUUUGACCAGCAUGCCAAUUAUGAUUGCCCUGCUCCUUCAUACGAAGAAGGCAGCCAUUCUGAUUCUUCAGUCAUAACAAUAUCUCCAGAUGAGGCUGAGACCCAAGAGCUGGAUAUUAAUGUAGCCACUGUUAGUCAGGCACCAUGGGAUGAUGAAACUCCAGGACCAUCUUACUCAAGCUCAGAGCAGGUACACGUUACUAUGUCUUCUCUUUUAAAUACUUCUGACAGUUCAGAUGAAGAACUUGUCACAGGAGGAGCCACGUCUCAGAUACAAGGAGUACAAACCAAUGACGACCUAAAUAAUGACAGUGAUGAUUCUUCAGAUAAUUGUGUCAUUGUUGGGUUUGUUAAACCACUAGCUGAGAGGACCCCAGAACUUGUUGAACUGUCCUCUGAUUCUGAGGACUUAGGUUCUUAUGAGAAAAUGGAGACAGUGAAGACACAAGAACAGGAGCAAUCUUACAGUUCUGGUGAUAGCGAUGUUAGUAGAUGCUCAUCUCCACACUCUGUCCUUGGAAAGGAUGAACAAAUAAAUAAAGGUCAUUGUGAUACUAGUACAAGAAUCAAAUCAAAGAAGGAAGAGAAACGAUCUACAUCAUUGUCAUCUCCCAGAAACCUGAACUCAUCUGUAAGAGGAGACAGAGUAUAUUCUCCAUAUAACCAUAGACACAGAAAGAGGGGAAGAUCAAGAAGUUCAGAUUCACGUUCUCAGAGUAGAAGUGGGCAUGAUCAGAAGAAUCAUAGAAAGCAUCAUGGGAAGAAAAGAAUGAAAAGUAAACGAUCCAGAAGCAGGGAAAGUAGCAGACCUAGAGGGAGAAGAGACAAAAAGAGAUCAAGAACUAGAGAUAGCAGUUGGUCCAGAAGAAGCCAAACUCUGUCUCUAAGUAGUGAAAGCACAAGCAGAUCAAGGUCUCGUAGCAGUGAUCAUGGUAAAAGAAGAUCACGGAGCAGAAAUAGAGAUCGUUAUUAUUUAAGAAAUAAUUAUGGAAGCAGAUACAAAUGGGAGUAUACUUAUUACAGUAGAAACAAGGACAGGGAUGGGUACGAAUCAUCUUACAGGAGGAGGACUCUGUCCAGAGCUCAUUAUUCUAGACAGUCUUCAAGUCCAGAAUUUAGAGUUCAGUCCUUUUCUGAAAGAACAAAUGCUAGGAAAAAAAAUAAUCACAGUGAGAGGAAGUAUUACUACUAUGAAAGGCACAGAUCAAGGAGCCUGUCUAGUAACAGAUCAAGGACUGCAUCUACCGGGACUGACCGGGUGAGAAAUGAAAAGCCUGGAGGGAAACGAAAAUACAAAACACGGCAUUUGGAGGGUACUAACGAAGUGGCUCAGCCAUCUCGUGAAUUUGCUUCUAAAGCAAAGGACAGUCAUUACCAAAAAUCUUCAUCAAAAUUGGAUGGAAACUACAAAAAUGAGAGUGAUACCUUUUCAGACAGCCGAUCAUCAGACAGAGAGACAAAACACAAAAGGAGAAAAAGGAAGACCCGGAGCCUAAGUGUAGAGAUAGUUUAUGAAGGAAAAGCUACUGAUACAACUAAACACCAUAAAAAGAAAAAGAAGAAACAUAAGAAGAAGCAUAAGAAACACCAUGGAGAUAAUGCUUCACGUUCCCCAGUUGUAAUUACCAUUGACAGUGACAGUGAUAAGGAUUCUGAAGUAAAGGAGGAUACAGAAUGUGACAAUAGUGGUCCUCAAGACCCUCUACAAAAUGAGUUUUUGGCUCCUUCCUUGGAACCAUUUGAAACUAAAGAUGUAGUUACAAUAGAAGCUGAAUUUGGUGUGCUGGACAAGGAAUGUGAUAUUGCCACACUUACUAACAACUUGAAUAAUGCCAACAAAACUGUAGAUAAUAUUCCACCUCUGGCAGCUUCAGUUGAACAAACUCUCGAUGUAAGAGAAGAGAGCACCUUUGUUUCUGAUUUGGAGAACCAGCCCAGUAACAUUGUGUCUAUUCAAACUGAGCCAUCAAGGCAGUUGCCAUCGCCACGGACAUCAUUAAUGUCAGUAUGUCUUGGUAGAGACUGUGAUAUGUCUUAAAACUGCCAAAGCAUUUCAUUGAGAAUUAUGAUGUUAUAAAAAGGAAAAAGGAAGAAUGUCAUCUACUGCAGUCUAUUUAAAGAUGACAUUUGGUGAAAACUCUCUUCCUCCUUACAAUAUUGUAUACAACAUUCCCACCAUCACAGAUGAAAUAGAAGAUACUCAUCAGGAGGAAAAUUUCCAGUGGGCAUCUGAAAAUUGGAGUGUGAAUCUUGGAGGCAAGAUUGGGGCUAGAGAAAUGAUUUAGGAGUUGCUGUGAAACAGAGUAGUACUGAGGCUGUGGGAGGAUGAGAUACUCCAGAGAGAGGAGAUAGAGCAAGAGAAGCAGACGUAAGUGAGAAUUCUAGGGAACAUAAUAUGAAAAGUUGGCUGGCAACAGAAAAGAAGCUUUCAAAAGAGGCCAAGAAGUGUUUCCCAUAGUCCCACAUACUUUCUUUGCCUCUUCAAUUUUAUGUUGUGUCUCCUGUAUCUAAUACAGUGCCCUCGUCACUACGGAACAUAGACUUUUUGAGAGGUUAAUCUUAUUUUUAGGUUCUUGGGAGCACCUCACUCUUACCUUCAUGUGAUGAUUAUGUUAGAAACCGUUGCUGUGGUGGAGCAGGUUAGGCUGCCUCCAAGGAAAUCUAAUAGGAUUUUUAGAAUAUAGGACUGGGAAGUACCAUCUUUAGAUUCUACUCUAUCAGUCACUCUCCUUUGCUUUCCUUCAUGUCCAGUUAUGAUUUUCCAGAUAAUGUUUUAAUCACUCUCCUUGCAAUACCUCCAACUCACUUGCCCUUCUUUCUUUCAUCAUUUACCUACUUUAGGAGUUGGGAAACUUUUCCUCUAGGGCCAUACACAGGCUGUGUCACAUAAUCUUUGUUUUUUUCUACAUUUUUUUUCAAAUUGAGGUGGAGCUUUGCUUUGUUGCCCAGCAUGGUCUCAAACUCCUGGGUUCAAGCAGUCCUCCCACCUUGGCCUCCCAAAGUGCUGGGAUUACAGGUGUGAGCCACCAUGCCUGGCCUACAACACUUUCUAAAUGUUAAAACAAUUUUUAGCUUUUGGUCUGUACAAAAACAAGACACGCGCCAGAUUUGGAAUGCAAGCUGUAGUUGGCUAACAGUUUACCUAGCAAGAUCUCAGUCUGGAUGAACCCAGCUCUUCAGUUCUGCGUACGUGCAUGCUGCUAAGUAUCGUGAAGGAAAUCAGUAACUGGUAACCGUGCAGAUUGGUGUACAUCAGCUUCAUAAGCUGUACAACAUUAGAGGGCAAGUUUUUGUAGUAUUCUUGCUCAUUGUAUUUGGCAUAAUGGCUUUUUUACACCUUUUUCUCCUCAACCCUAUUUCUCUCUACCACCUAUAUAUUUUAGAGAUAGGACUGAGUGACUGGCUGGGCAGUUAUGAUCAGCACAGGCUCAAACAGAAACCCUGCCUGUUUACCAAAACCAGUAUCUGCGUCAUAUUAGUUCUUAGAGAUACUGCCUGCCAAGACUGUCUUGACUGGCAUUCUUGUAUGUCUUCAGUCAGCUUGUAGGUCGGCUGAUCUAAGCCUUCACCUGGGGUUACUGGGCUCUAUGUGGUUUCUCAUCCUCCAGCACGUUGGCCUGAGCUUGUUUACGUGAUCUGACCAACUCAUCUAAUAUAAGCAGCCCCAUUACUCCUUAUUCCUUUUUCUACUUUAUUUCUCCUCAUAGCACUUAUUACUACAUAACAUCUACUUUUCUGUCUGUCUCCCUCACUAGAAUGUGGUAAGCUCUAAAGCCAUAUUCUCCACUUUAGUCAUGGUAAUACCAUUCUCCCAGUUGCUCAAACCAGAUACCUGGAAUUUAUCCUCGAUUUUUCUCAUUCCUUUCCUCUGCCAGCCACUCAAUCCUGUCUCUAAAAUAUAUCUCAAUUAACUUCUUACACUCUCUACCACAAUGUCCUUAUCUAUGCCGCUCAGCAUCUCUUACUUGAGUCACCUCCCAACUGAUCUCAUUCUGGCUAGGAGCCAGAGAGGUUUUUAAAAAGUGUAAUCAGAUUAUGCUAUUCCUUGAUUAAAACCCUGCAGUAUGGCUGGGUGCAGUGGCUCACACCUGUAAUCUCAGCACUUUGGGAGGCGGAGACCAUCCUGGCUAACACGGUGAAACUCUGUUUCUACUAAAAAUACAAAAACAAAAUUAGCCUGGCAUGGUGGUGGGUGCGGGAGAAUGGCGUGAACCCGGGAGGCAGAGCUUGCAGUGAGCCUAGAUGGCACUACUGCACUCCAGCCUGGGUGACAGAGCAAGACUCCAUCUCAAAAAAAUUAAAUAAACAACAACAACAAUAACAGAAAACCCUGCAGUAUGUUCUCACUGCACUUCAUUCCUUGCAUUAAAGAUGCUGCUGUUUCAGCUCCACUUGCAAUACCAUUUACUCCUUGCUCACAGAGUUCCAGCUACAAGCAUCUUGCAUCUUUCACUUUUUUUUUUUAAACUCUUCUGUGCAUUCUGUCUCCCUGUAUGGAAUACCCCUUUACCUGCUUUUUUUUUUUUUUUUUUUUUUUUUUUUUUUUUGAGACGGGGUCUGGCUCUGUUGCCCAGACUGGAGGGCAAUGGCGUGAUCUCAUGAUCUCGGUUCACUGCAACCCCUGUCUCCCAGGUUUAAGCAGUUCUCCUGCCUCAGCCUCCCGAGUAGCUGGGACUACAGGUGUGUGCCACCGCACCCAAUUUUUUGUAUUUUUAGUAGGGAUGGGGUUUCACCAUGUUGGCCAGGCUGGUCUCAAACUCCUGACUGCAAAUGAUCCACCCGCCUUGGCCUCCCAAAGUGCCGGGAUUACAUGUAUGAGCCACUGUGCCCGGCUUACCUGCUUUUUUUUUGAAUAGCUAAUUCCUUCUUCUUCUUCAGGAUUCAGCUGAAAUGUGACCUCCUCAGAAAGGUAUUCCCUUACCACUGUAUUGAAAUAGUUUUCUCCAUGUCACUUCACAUUUGGCAGUUACUAUUUGUGUUUUUACAUCUUUAUUGUGUCUUCUUCCUCCUUCAUUCAGACUCUAAGCUCUUGACAGAGACUCUUUUCCACUUAUCUCCAUGUAUCUAGUGUUUUUCACAGUACCUGACGUACAGUAGAUAUUCUGUAAAUGUGUUGAGUAAAUUAAUGCCCAGGUGAGGAGAUGGUCUAAGACUGAGAUUUUUUUUUAAUUUUUAAUUUUUAAUUUUAAGUUAUGGGGUACAUCUGCAGGAUGUGCAGGUUUGUUACAUAGGUAAAUGUGUGCCAUGGUGGUUUGCUGCACCUAUCAACCCAUCACCUAGGUAUUAGGUGAUAAGAUAUCACCUAAUCCUUCUGUGACACUCCCCUUCUUUCCUGGCCUUGGUCAAUUUUUACCUAUGAAUCUGUCAAAUGAUUCCAUUUCUGGAACUUCAUUUCUUUCAGAUAUAAUCUAUACUAUAAUUGUUGAUGUUUUCUAAAUCUGUUGUUAUUCAGGAAUACAUUAUUUCCCACUAGUAGCAUAGAAGGAGGCAUGUCUUUACCUUUUUAAAGGAAUUUUGGAUCUGAUUUCUUUUUCUCAGCUAAAACCCAAAUCGAGGUAUUGGAAGAGUAGCUUGCAUGAGAUAAUAAUUAUAAACAUAGGCAAAACAUAAGGGUAUAAAGAACGUGAAGGCACUGGAGGGCAAUCAAAAAGCAGAAACUGGAGGGAAUUAGACCCUUGAAAGAUGGAGAUGACACUGUAUGAGAACAGUUUCUUUGGCGUUUCAUCUGAGGGUCAUCCCCUGUCCAUAGGGAGACUAGAAUGCAAGCAGAGAGCCACAGACAUUGUGUCAGAAGAUGGACCCUGGGGCUGCCCGAGUGACUGCAUUUUGAGGGAGAAAUUUCAGAAAGUAGACACAGAAAACAAGCCCUAAAAUUUUUGUAUAACUUUCACUCAAAUCUUUACCUGACCCUGAAAUGUACAUGUGCAGGGAAGAUUCCAAAAAGCCCAUGUAAGCAAUAGCUGGAAAGCUAAAAGGGCUCAAUAGAUACAUUUCAGCCACCACCACAAGGAAUAUAGAACUUGGAGGUUGAAUCCCACCAACUUAGAUGGGCUGAGAAACAUGUAGGACUUUUCACUGGAACAUGCAGGGCCACAGCUUACUGUGGAAGACUAUGACUCAGGACUAAGGACUUACCUUGCAAGAAGGGCAAAAUUUGAAACAGACCUACCACAGUGUGUAAACAAUGCCUUUGUAAGUUUAAAGUAAUUCAUUGGUAAUUCAGUGGAAUGCUAGAACAAAAAGUAAUACUCUUGAGAGUAAAAUAAUAGAAUCCAGAGAUUCUAUAAUACAUCUAUAGCAUCCAGUAUAAAAAAAAUACUAGACAUGUGAAUGAACCCAUAGUCAAGAGAAAAAGCCAUCACCAAAACAGGUUCCGAGAUGGAAUUCACAGACAAGGGCUUUAAAGACACUAUUAGAAAUAUGUGUAUGAACUUAAAGGAAAAGAUGGUUUAAUGAAUGAACAGAUAGUGGUUCUCAGCUGAGACAUGAGAAGUAGAAAAAAGAAACAAUGGAAAUCCUGGAACUACACACACACAAAAAAAAAACCUAAAAUGAAAAAGUUACUGGAAGCCUUAACAAAUUGGAGAAGACAGAAGUGAGAUAACAUUAGUUGGAAACCAGUGUUUACCAGAGGCAAUGAAUAGCACCAGAAAUAGCAAACAGCAUGGAAAAACAAAAACUAAUUUUUUUCUUAUUUUACUUAAAAGACAACAAGCUAUAACAAGGUUUAUAACAUUGUAUUAUUGUAGUAUGUAUUUUAUAACAUAUAGAAGUACAGUUUCAGACAAUGAUAGCAAAAAGGAUGGGGUGGAAUUACAUGGUUGUGAUGAUCUUACAUUUUACUUAAUGUGGUACAAUAUUAGUUCUAAAUAGAUUGAGAUAAGUUGAGGAUACAUAUUAUAAUCCUUAGUGCAACCACUAAAUACACACACACACACGUAUAAAAUAAUAUGUAGAGUGUAUACAAAUAUAUAUGUAUAUGUGUGUAUGGAGAGAGAACUAUAGCUAAAAGAAUACAAAGAGUUAUAGCUAAAAGAGGUUAAAGUUAUAUUUGAUUAACGUAUAUCCAAGGAGUCCAUUUUACUGGAUGACACAGCAAAACCCUGUCUCUUAAAAAAAAUAAAA